GGGGAAUAUUGCACAAUGGGCGAAAGCCUGAUGCAGCAACGCCGCGUGAGUGAUGAAGGUCUUCGGAUUGUAAAGCUCUGUCUUUUGGGGCGAUAAUGACGGUACCAAAGGAGGAAGCCACGGCUAACUACGUGCCAGCAGCCGCGGUAAUACGUAGGUGGCGAGCGUUGUCCGGAUUUACUGGGCGUAAAGGGUGCGUAGGCGGAUGUUUAAGUGAGAUGUGAAAUACCCGGGCUUAACUUGGGUGCUGCAUUUCAAACUGGAUAUCUAGAGUGCAGGAGAGGAGAAUGGAAUUCCUAGUGUAGCGGUGAAAUGCGUAGAGAUUAGGAAGAACACCAGUGGCGAAGGCGAUUCUCUGGACUGUAACUGACGCUGAGGCACGAAAGCGUGGGUAGCAAACAGGAUUAGAUACCCUGGUAGUCCACGCCGUAAACGAUGAGUACUAGGUGUAGGAGGUAUCGACCCCUUCUGUGCCGCAGU
RNAcentral lists this ribosomal RNA (480 nucleotides) under uncultured bacterium. Its description in RNAcentral is "partial 16S ribosomal RNA". It matches the Rfam family "Bacterial small subunit ribosomal RNA", at positions 356 to 852 of the family's 1533-position model. The record is from RNAcentral.